UACGGGGGGUGCGAGCGUUGUCCGGAAUCACUGGGCGUAAAGGGCGCGUAGGUGGUUUGAUAAGGGUGUGGUGAAAGUCCGGGGCUCAACCCCGGAUCUGCCGUGCCGACUGUCAAACUCGAGGACUGUGGAGGCAGACGGAAUUCCGGGUGUAGCGGUGGAAUGCGUAGAGAUCCGGAGGAAGACCGGUGGCGAAGGCGGUCUGCUGGGCAGUUUCUGACACUGAGGCGCGACAGCGUGGGGAGCAAACAGG
RNAcentral lists this ribosomal RNA (253 nucleotides) under uncultured bacterium. RNAcentral describes it as "partial 16S ribosomal RNA". It matches the Rfam family "Bacterial small subunit ribosomal RNA", at positions 524 to 776 of the family's 1533-position model. The record is from RNAcentral.